CCUACGGGGGGCUGCAGUGGGGAAUAUUGGACAAUGGGCGAAAGCCUGAUCCAGCAAUGCCGCGUGAGUGACGAAGGCCUUAGGGUUGUAAAGCUCUUUUACCAGGGAUGAUAAUGACAGUACCUGGAGAAUAAGCUCCGGCUAACUCCGUGCCAGCAGCCGCGGUAAUACGGAGGGAGCUAGCGUUGUUCGGAAUUACUGGGCGUAAAGCGUACGUAGGCGGUUAUUCAAGUCAGAGGUGAAAGCCUGGAGCUCAACUCCAGAACUGCCUUUGAAACUAGAUAGCUAGAAUCAUGGAGAGGUGAGUGGAAUUCCGAGUGUAGAGGUGAAAUUCGUAGAUAUUCGGAAGAACACCAGUGGCGAAGGCGGCUCACUGGACAUGUAUUGACGCUGAGGUACGAAAGCGUGGGGAGCAAACAGGAUUAGAUACCCAAGUAGUC
RNAcentral lists this ribosomal RNA (440 nucleotides) under uncultured bacterium. RNAcentral's name for it is "bacterial SSU rRNA". It matches the Rfam family "Bacterial small subunit ribosomal RNA", at positions 338 to 795 of the family's 1533-position model. The record is from RNAcentral.